RNAcentral lists this ribosomal RNA (474 nucleotides) under uncultured bacterium. RNAcentral describes it as "bacterial SSU rRNA". It matches the Rfam family "Bacterial small subunit ribosomal RNA", at positions 335 to 799 of the family's 1533-position model. The record is from RNAcentral.
ACUCCUACGGGAGGCAGCAGUGGGGAAUAUUGCACAAUGGGCGCAAGCCUGAUGCAGCCAUGCCGCGUGUGUGAAGAAGGCCUUCGGGUUGUAAAGCACUUUCAGUCGUGAGGAAGGUGGUAGUGUUAAUAGCACUAUCAUUUGACGUUAGCGACAGAAGAAGCACCGGCUAACUCCGUGCCAGCAGCCGCGGUAAUACGGAGGGUGCGAGCGUUAAUCGGAAUUACUGGGCGUAAAGCGCAUGCAGGUGGUUUGUUAAGUCAGAUGUGAAAGCCCGGGGCUCAACCUCGGAAUAGCAUUUGAAACUGGCAGACUAGAGUACUGUAGAGGGGGGUAGAAUUUCAGGUGUAGCGGUGAAAUGCGUAGAGAUCUGAAGGAAUACCGGUGGCGAAGGCGGCCCCCUGGACAGAUACUGACACUCAGAUGCGAAAAGCGUGGGGAGCAAACAGGAUUAGAUACCCUGGUAGGAUAGCG